GUCACUUCUCAGCCUUUUGGCUAAAAUCAGGUAGUAUCUGUUCUUAAUGGUUUAAUACGUGACUCGUCCUCUAUCCAAAGACAAUAUAUCACAUGGAUUUUUGGAAUUAGAAGAUGGAAUAGGAGCUUACUCUGCCCACUCCACACAUCGACCUGGUGUUGCAGUACCAUUACUUCAAUGCAGAGAAA
Ailuropoda melanoleuca (giant panda) is the source of this 188-nucleotide small nuclear RNA. Its record names the gene U2. It matches the Rfam family "U2 spliceosomal RNA". From Rfam's summary of the family: U2 is a small nuclear RNA (snRNA) component of the spliceosome (involved in pre-mRNA splicing). Lineage: Eukaryota; Metazoa; Chordata; Mammalia; Carnivora; Ursidae. The record is from Ensembl.